UAUGUUAGCUUGCUAAUAUAUUUAGUAGCAAAUGGGUGAGUAACACGUACCUAACCUACCUUUUGGACCGGGAUAACUAUUGGAAACAGCAGCUAAUACCGGAUAAAAUAAAAAAAUGCAUGUUUUUUUAUUAAAAGGAGCCUUUAAAGCUCCACCAAAAAAUGGGGGUGCGCAACAUUAGUUAGUUGGUAGGGUAAAGGCCUACCAAGACGAUGAUGUUUAGCGGGGCCAAGAGGCUGUACCGCCACACUGGGAUUGAGAUACGGCCCAGACUCCUACGGGAGGCAGCAGUAAGGAAUAUUCCACAAUGAGCGAAAGCUUGAUGGAGCGACACAAAGUGCAG
RNAcentral lists this ribosomal RNA (343 nucleotides) under Mesomycoplasma ovipneumoniae. Its description in RNAcentral is "Mycoplasma ovipneumoniae partial 16S ribosomal RNA". It matches the Rfam family "Bacterial small subunit ribosomal RNA", at positions 71 to 406 of the family's 1533-position model. The record is from RNAcentral. Lineage: Bacteria; Bacillati; Mycoplasmatota; Mycoplasmoidales; Metamycoplasmataceae.